UUUUGAAAAAAAGGGUCUAUCUUACCUCUUAGGGAGGAGAAACCACCCAACGAUCUCUCAAACCUCACCAAUCCUAAAAUAGUUUCUAAAACUUUUUAUUUCUGAAGCUUCUCUUAAAUCUCAACAAAAAUGAUUACCUUAGAAAGAUCUGAAGGGCUCUUACAACUCCGGUGGAGAAACAAGAAUAGUUUUCGUGAAAAAGAUGAGGUCGGAGAUGGCAGAGGAGUAUGACCAUGACAGGAGGGUAGGUGGAGGUAAUGAACACUUAUAUUAAAUGUCCAGUUUUUUGGGGUUUGCUUUGAUUUUGUUGAUUUUUUUGGUUGAUUGAUUUUCUUUUUACUGUUAUGGCGACAUGAUGAUGUUGAGGCGGUUAAACUGGUCGGUUAUCAACAGUUGCAACUUCGGAAUCGAUAACAGCGGGAGUGGCUCCACGGUGGGCUUUUCUAGUUGACAGUGGCGGCGGCAGCCGGGGAAGAUAAUGAAGAAUUAGGGUUACGGUUAGCAAAGGCUUGAACAUGCAACCCAACAAGUGAACCAAGUCCAGUUCAACAGUCGUGAGGAACCCUAACCUUGGUAGUGUUCUGCGCCACAAGCUCCCUCGCCUCCCUUUCCGAGUUUCACGGCCACCCGUCUCACAUCCUCCACAACUCCGAUUCCUCCGGCGCAAGGAUUUCAUGAAGAUAACAAGCCAACAAACAUUGGAGUUAGAGUUCUAAUAGGGGUCAAACACUUAGAUUCUAGGCUAUAAAUAAGACAUGUAAUCUAUUUGUAAAGGGAGAGGAGACCACAGAGAGCUUUUAGGCACAAAAUACGCAAAAAUCCACAAUACAUAAAAGAUUACCACAGAAAUCUUACUAGAGUAC
This is a long non-coding RNA of Hibiscus syriacus, 863 nucleotides long. RefSeq lists it as uncharacterized. NCBI's taxonomy places the organism in Eukaryota, Viridiplantae, Streptophyta, Magnoliopsida, Malvales, Malvaceae. The record is from RefSeq and is a predicted model, not a curated record. The transcript has 3 exons.